This 197-nucleotide ribosomal RNA is filed under the name Paenibacillus polymyxa. Its description in RNAcentral is "partial 16S ribosomal RNA". It matches the Rfam family "Bacterial small subunit ribosomal RNA", at positions 167 to 358 of the family's 1533-position model. Lineage: Bacteria; Bacillati; Bacillota; Bacilli; Caryophanales; Paenibacillaceae. The record is from RNAcentral.
UACCCGAUACAUCCUUUUCCUGCAUGGGAGAAGGAGGAAAGGCGGAGCAAUCUGUCACUUGUGGAUGGGCCUGCGGCGCAUUAGCUAGUUGGUGGGGUAAUGGCCUACCAAGGCGACGAUGCGUAGCGACCUGAGAGGGUGAUCGGCCACACUGGGACUGAGACACGGCCCAGACUCGGACCUGCGGCAGCAGUAGG